This 846-nucleotide ribosomal RNA is filed under the name Thermococcus sp. CX2. RNAcentral describes it as "bacterial SSU rRNA". It matches the Rfam family "Archaeal small subunit ribosomal RNA", at positions 45 to 887 of the family's 1478-position model. Lineage: Archaea; Methanobacteriati; Methanobacteriota; Thermococci; Thermococcales; Thermococcaceae. The record is from RNAcentral.
UAAGCCAUGCGAGUCAUGGGGCGCCUUGCGCGCACCGGCGGACGGCUCAGUAACACGUCGGUAACCUACCCUCGGGAGGGGGAUAACCCCGGGAAACUGGGGCUAAUCCCCCAUAGGCCUGAGGUACUGGAAGGUCCUCAGGCCGAAAGGGGCUUCGGCCCGCCCGAGGAUGGGCCGGCGGCCGAUUAGGUAGUUGGUGGGGUAACGGCCCACCAAGCCGAAGAUCGGUACGGGCCAUGAGAGUGGGAGCCCGGAGAUGGACACUGAGACACGGGUCCAGGCCCUACGGGGCGCAGCAGGCGCGAAACCUCCGCAAUGCGGGAAACCGCGACGGGGGGACCCCCAGUGCCGUGGCAUCGCCACGGCUUUUCCGGAGUGUAAAGAGCUCCGGGAAUAAGGGCUGGGCAAGGCCGGUGGCAGCCGCCGCGGUAAUACCGGCGGCCCGAGUGGUGGCCGCUAUUAUUGGGCCUAAAGCGUCCGUAGCCGGGCCCGUAAGUCCCUGGCGAAAUCCCACGGCUCAACCGUGGGGCUUGCUGGGGAUACUGCGGGCCUUGGGACCGGGAGAGGCCGGGGGUACCCCUGGGGUAGGGGUGAAAUCCUAUAAUCCCAGGGGGACCGCCAGUGGCGAAGGCGCCCGGCUGGAACGGGUCCGACGGUGAGGGACGAAGGCCAGGGGAGCGAACCGGAUUAGAUACCCGGGUAGUCCUGGCUGUAAAGGAUGCGGGCUAGGUGUCGGGCGAGCUUCGAGCUCGCCCGGUGCCGAAGGGAAGCCGUUAAGCCCGCCGCCUGGGGAGUACGGCCGCAAGGCUGAAACUUAAAGGAAUUGGCGGGGGAGCACUACAAGGG